Molecule: ribosomal RNA, 268 nt
Filed under: uncultured bacterium
Lineage: Bacteria
Description: partial 16S ribosomal RNA
Rfam family: Bacterial small subunit ribosomal RNA
Source: RNAcentral
GACGAACGCUGGCGGCGUGCAUAACACAUGCAAGUCAAGGGGGUCGAGUAGCAAUACUGGCAACCGGCGAACGGGUGCGUAACACGUAAGCGACCUACCUCAAUGUGGGGCGAUAGCCGGCCUAACGGCCGGGUAAUUCCGCAUGUGAUCUUGGAGGGGCGAUCUCUCCGGGAUGAAACCAGUAAUGGGCGAUUGAGAGGGGCGUUGCGGCCUAUCAGCUUGUUGGUGAGGUAACGGCGUCACCAAGGCUACGACGGGUAGGCUGGUC